Molecule: long non-coding RNA, 423 nt
Filed under: Homo sapiens (human)
Lineage: Eukaryota; Metazoa; Chordata; Mammalia; Primates; Hominidae
Description: non-protein coding lnc-ZSWIM6-5:1
Source: RNAcentral
ACGUUUGCCUGAGCAUACUCCCAGCCUCCCAGGGCCCCUUCUGUGUGCCCUGCCUCUGAUUGCAAGUGCAGAGAGCAGUUCUCCCAAGAGCCAGGGCUCAGCUCACCCCUGCAGGUCAGCAAUGUGGGUGACAGAUACUUCUUUUUGCUGUUGGAACACUUCAUAUUCAUCUCUGGUAUUGUCAUGGCCUUUGACAUACCUUACCAACAAGAGAGGUUUGUUGACUGAUGACAGCAGGUAUAACAAAAUCUAACUAGUGACAGUUGUAAGAAUUGGCAAAGUAUUACUGCAUCAACAGGUAUGUGGACUGUCUAAGAGCCUCAGAAAGGACAAAGAAAGAAGCUUACAGAUUCCGAUGCCCCUUACUACUGUAUCUGGCCUUUCUCCUGCCGGUAUAGUGAGAGUUGACAGUUUGAUGGAUUU